Molecule: ribosomal RNA, 481 nt
Filed under: uncultured bacterium
Lineage: Bacteria
Description: partial 16S ribosomal RNA
Rfam family: Bacterial small subunit ribosomal RNA
Source: RNAcentral
GAUGGACGCUGGCGGCGUGCUUAACACAUGCAAGUCGAACGAAGCAUUUGCGACAGAUUUUUUCGGAAUGAAGUUGCUUAUGACUGAGUGGCGGACGGGUGAGUAACGCGUGGGUAACCUGCCCUGUACUGGGGGAUAGCAGCUGGAAACGGCUGGUAAUACCGCAUAAGCGCACAAUGUUGCAUGACAUGGUGUGAAAAACUCCGGUGGUAUAAGAUGGACCCGCGUCUGAUUAGCUAGUUGGUGAGAUAACAGCCCACCAAGGCGACGAUCAGUAGCCGACCUGAGAGGGUGACCGGCCACAUUGGGACUGAGACACGGCCCAGACUCCUACGGGAGGCAGCAGUGGGGAAUAUUGCACAAUGGAGGAAACUCUGAUGCAGCGACGCCGCGUGAGUGAAGAAGUAAUUCGUUAUGUAAAGCUCUAUCAGCAGGGAAGAUAGUGACGGUACCUGACUAAGAAGCUCCGGCUAAAUACGUG